UUGAUCGGAUCGCCGAGUGCUGCCGCCGAUCGAGGUCCCCUCACGACCCACACGGCAGCAGCGGGGGAACCACCACGGGCACCGGUGACGGUGUCCUCGGGGUGAAGCCUCGGGAGCGUCCGCGGACGCCGACGAGGCCGGGUGAUCUCCCACCCGAACCCGACAGCUCACCUCGCAGGCGUACGGAGAGGUUCC
RNAcentral lists this small RNA (195 nucleotides) under Cellulomonas carbonis. RNAcentral describes it as "c-di-AMP sequence". It matches the Rfam family "c-di-AMP riboswitch aptamer (ydaO/yuaA leader)". Rfam says of the family: This family represents a conserved RNA structure found upstream of the ydaO and yuaA genes in Bacillus subtilis and related genes in other bacteria. The ydaO/yuaA element is thought to act as a genetic "off" switch for the ydaO and yuaA genes in its native state. Lineage: Bacteria; Bacillati; Actinomycetota; Actinomycetes; Micrococcales; Cellulomonadaceae. The record is from RNAcentral.